AAACCAACAGGGAUUGCCCCAGUAACGGCGAGUGAAGCGGCAAGAGCUCAAAUUUGAAAUCUGGCCUCCUCCGGGGGUCCGAGUUGUAAUUUGCAGAGGAUGCUUCGGGUGCGGCCCCCGUCUAAGUUCCUUGGAACAGGACGUCAGAGAGGGUGAGAAUCCCGUCUUGGGCGGGCGGCCCGCGCCCGUGUGAAGCUCCUUCGACGAGUCGAGUUGUUUGGGAAUGCAGCUCUAAGCGGGUGGUAAAUUUCAUCUAAAGCUAAAUACUGGCCGGAGACCGAUAGCGCACAAGUAGAGUGAUCGAAAGGUUAAAAGCACCUUGAAAAGGGAGUUAAACAGCACGUGAAAUUGUUGAAAGGGAAGCGCUUGCGGCCAGACUCGGGGGCGGGGUUCAGCGGGCGCUCGUCGCCCGUGCACUCCCCGCGCCCCGGGCCAGCAUCAGUUUCGACGGCCGGUCAAAGGCCCCCGGAAUGUGUCGUCUCUAGGGACGUCUUAUAGCCGGGGGUGCAAUGCGGCCCGUCGGGACUGAGGAACGCGCUCCGGCUCGGAUGCUGGCGUAAUGGCCGUAAGCGGC
This 574-nucleotide ribosomal RNA is filed under the name Trichophyton benhamiae. RNAcentral describes it as "eukaryotic LSU rRNA". It matches the Rfam family "Eukaryotic large subunit ribosomal RNA", at positions 62 to 648 of the family's 3401-position model. The record is from RNAcentral. Lineage: Eukaryota; Fungi; Ascomycota; Eurotiomycetes; Onygenales; Arthrodermataceae.